GGAGCAGAUCACGUAAGCACUGCCUAUUCCACAGCAAGGGUAAGCAGAGCAGGAAUGAACUGGGAGUUAAUGUGGAAAGAGAGGGAAGGAAGACCAUAUGUCAAGAACUGAAGAGGCAUGGUCUUCAGAGGUACCCUGUGCAUAGAUGAGGCAUUUCUGUGAUUUUUGCACUUGCACACUGGAACCUGAAGCAAUUAUACCUGACUCCCAAGUGUUGUAGAAGCAGGCCUUGUGUAGGCGGAACAAAAGUCUCUGAUGAUUUGCUUGCUUCAAAAGGUCCCCACUGAUUUUACCUUUGGGUCUGUUCUACCAUCUCUCAUUGUUUCAUAAUUUAGAUAGCCUCUCAGAAGUAUGGCCAUGGGCAGGGGAAGAACGGACGUGUCCAGCGGGGGAAAUACAGCCAUCCAGCGGGAAUUAACAGAGCAGAAAGGAUUUGGAAAUUCUAGUUUCUGAAGCUUGCAGCAGGGCUGGAUUCAAGGGAUUUCUUCAACAGGAACACAGGCCCUAAAAGGUUAUUGAACUGUGGAAGCUCAUCUGAAGCAGAAGAAGAGUGGCCUGGGGAGGGGCUUAGCUCAUUGAGCUGUGUCUUUCCCCCUAGCACACAGCCCGUGCCUCAGUUUCCCCAUGUGCAGAGCACAAGGACUGCCAGUGAUGGUCUUUUGCAAAGCCCAUUUGAGAUCCAGCAAUGAAAACUGACACGGCCGUCUGGGUAUCGCUGUCAUUCAGGGCAGAAUCAGCAUGGUUCAAAGCCAGAGUGAGCCCUUCCACGUGGUGGGUUAAAACCCCAAUUUUUGGUCCAGGUUCUGAGAUCCCCCACCCUUGGCAUGGCCAGGCUGGCGUGUGGGAGCUGCCUCACCGGUGGGGUGCUGGUGUGGGGCCCGACCCAUCCCACCCCGGCAGCACAGCCACCGCCAUCCACAUCCUCACACCGCUGCUUUGGCCUUCCCACUGGCCACAGCUCUCCUUCUGUAACACCUGGGUGCACACUGGGGUUGUUUGUUCGCUUUAGUUUUGCUUUGUGGGGAAACUGAUACAGGCUGCACGUUAGCUGUAAAGGAGAACAAACAGGGUAAGAUGGGAGUAUUUCUGCAUAGGGUAAUAACUGGGCUAAGAUGGGAGUAUUUCUGUAUAAGGUAAUAAACGGGGUAAGAUGGGAGUAUUUCCUUUAUUAUUGAAAACUUGGGAAGCUUCUCUUUUUUGCUGGCUCUUUGCUCCUGAAGUAUUGCGCUGCGUGCCUCCUGAGCCAAACGAUAAAAUUAAAGAAAAUUAAAGAAAAAUAAAUAAUAAAAUAAAGCAAAUUAAAAUAAA
Anas platyrhynchos (mallard) is the source of this 1308-nucleotide long non-coding RNA. RefSeq lists it as uncharacterized. The record is from RefSeq and is a predicted model, not a curated record. NCBI's taxonomy places the organism in Eukaryota, Metazoa, Chordata, Aves, Anseriformes, Anatidae.